This 427-nucleotide ribosomal RNA is filed under the name uncultured bacterium. RNAcentral's name for it is "partial 16S ribosomal RNA". It matches the Rfam family "Bacterial small subunit ribosomal RNA", at positions 354 to 796 of the family's 1533-position model. The record is from RNAcentral.
GUGGGGAAUAUUGGGCAAUGGAGGCAACUCUGACCCAGCAAUGCCGCGUGAGUGAAGAAGGUUUUCGGAUUGUAAAGCUCUUUGAUCGGGGACGAAGAAAUGACGUUACCCGAGGAACAAGCCCCGGCUAACUCCGUGCCAGCAGCCGCGGUAAUACGGAGGGGGCUAGCGUUGUUCGGAAUUACUGGGCGUAAAGCGCGCGUAGGCGGACCAGAAAGUUGGAGGUGAAAUCCCAGGGCUCAACCUUGGAACUGCCUUAAAAACUCCUGGUCUGGAGGUCGAGAGAGGUGAGUGGAAUUCCGAGUGUAGAGGUGAAAUUCGUAGAUAUUCGGAGGAACACCAGUGGCGAAGGCGGCUCACUGGCUCGAUACUGACGCUGAGGUGCGAAAGCGUGGGGAGCAAACAGGAUUAGAUACCCGAGUAGUCC